AUGGAUGAGGUACAUGUUGAGAAUAAUAACCCCGAUGAAGCAAAUCAUGGUGAUGAAGUACCUGCUAAUGUUGAUGUUUCUUUGCAACCUGAUAUAUUCGAUCCUCGAAAUUGGGAUGGCCUUGAUUCUAAAGCAAUUGAUAAUUUGGUAGAGAAGGGUCCUAAGAGGGCGCCUAUCCAAAAGGGCCAUAAUGAUAAACUUGGUAGGAGAUUUUCUGCUGUGUUUUAUAGUAGAGUUUUGCCAAAUGGAGAAAUGUGUGAUAGAGAGUGGCUUGUAUAUUCUAAAGGGCUCAAUAGAGUAUUCUGCUUUUGUUGCAAAAAAUUUGGGAAGGGGCGUGCUAGAGGUCAUUUGGCGAAUGAGGGAUUUAGUGACUGGAUACACCUUAGUAUCAGACUUAGAGAGCAUGAAACCUGA
This 414-nucleotide ribosomal RNA is filed under the name Triticum aestivum (bread wheat). RNAcentral's name for it is "partial small subunit ribosomal RNA". Lineage: Eukaryota; Viridiplantae; Streptophyta; Magnoliopsida; Poales; Poaceae. The record is from RNAcentral.